RNAcentral lists this long non-coding RNA (10201 nucleotides) under Equus caballus (horse). RNAcentral's name for it is "lncRNA (ENSECAG00000051351.1)". Lineage: Eukaryota; Metazoa; Chordata; Mammalia; Perissodactyla; Equidae. The record is from RNAcentral.
AGUAAUAGAUAAGAUGGGAAGUUUGACACAUCAUGAAGUCGGAGACAACAGGUGGAGUCUGACCAUCUAAUUCAGAGUUGCCAUGAGGUAUGUUACACACAAAUUGAGAGACGCCAGGGGUACUAUUCUAAAUGAAGUCAGAGAUGCCAGCAGAACUGUUACAUAUGAAGUUAUAGAUGGCAGGGGCAAUGUGAUGCAUGAACUCAGAGAUAAAAUGGGGAGUGUGACACGAAGUCAAGACACCACAUGGAUUCUUAUACGUGAAGUCAGAGAUGCGAUGGUUAGAGUUACACACAAAAUCAGAGACACCAGUGGAGUUGAUAUGCAUGAUUUCAGAGACCCCAGAUGGUCAAUGACACAUGAAGUGGGAAAUGCCACUUGGAAUGUUAUGCACGAAGUCAGAGACAUCAAUUUGAGUGUUACACAUGAAGUCAGAGACGCCAGGGGAAGUGUUACAAAUGAGGUCAUAAAUACUAUGGGGAGCAUUACUGUCCUGUGAAACAGGAAGUCAGACAAAUGGUCAAAGGUGACACGUGAAGUCAGAGGUGAUAUGAGGGUGAGUGACGUGAAUUCAUAGAUAACACAUUGAUGUUACACAUGAAGUAAGAGAUGGGAACCACACAAAAAUCCUAGAGGCCAGAGGGGAUUAUUAUAGUCCAAGGCAGAAAUGUCCCGUGCAGUGUUCCACAUUAAGUCAGACACUCCAGCGGGACUGUGACACAUGAAGUCAGAGGUGAAAUGUACAGUGUUCCAUAGCAUGUCAAAGACAACACUGGAAGUGUUACAACUGAAAUCUGAGACCCCAUGGGUAGUGUUCCACAAGAAGAUGGAGAUGCCAGGGAGAGUGUGACACAGGAAGUCACUGAUGCUAUGUAGAGUGUGACACACAAAGUCAGAGACAACAAGGGUGGUAAGAUACACAAAGUCAGAGACAUCAGGGAGUGUGUGACACACAACCUCAGAGACACCAAUGGGGACUGUUACAUACAAAAUUAAAGACACCAGGUGAAGUGUUAUAACCGAUAUGUCAGUGGAUGUGUUAUACACAAAGUUAUAGAUGGCAGGGGGAAUGUGAAGCAGAAACUCAAAGACAUCAGAGGGAGUGUAAAACAUGAAGUCAGAGACACCAUGGGGUGUGUUACACAUGAGAUCAGAGAUGUCAGGGAGAGUGUGAUACAUGAAGUCAUGGACAUGAGGUGGAGUAUGACACAGGAAGUCAGUGAAGGCACAGGGAUUGUUAUACAUGAAAACAAAGAUGCCAGAGGAGCAUGACACAUGAAUUCACAAAUGCCAAGAGGGAGGAUUAUCCAUGAAGUCAAAGACAUCAAGGAGAAUGUAACACACAAUGUCAGAGACUACGAGUAUAUUGAAUCACACAGUGACACAGACAACAUCUGGAGUGUGACACACUAAGUCAGAGAUGACAUAUGGGGUGUGACAUUAAUUCAGAAUGACAUUUUGGGUGUGACACACGAAGUCAGAGACACCACGUGUAGUGUUACACUUGAAGUCAGAAACACCACGGGAAGAGUUAUGCACAAUGUCAGAGAGGACAGGGGAAGUGUUAUGCAAGAUAGACAUGAUAUCGGUUGUGUGACACAUGCACUCAUAGACACCACGAGUAGUGUGCGGCAUAAGGUCAGUGACGACAGGUGGAGUGAUAUGAACAAAGUCACAGGCUAUAGGGGGAGUGUUACACACGAAUCAGACACAACAGGGUGAGUGUUACAUAGGAAGUGAGAUAUUCAACAGUGAGUGUUACACUCAAAGUCAGAGAAGCGAGGGGUAGUAUGACACACAAAGCAGAGAAACUAGUGUGUUAAACAAGAAGUCUGAGUCUCCAAUGGGGAGUGUUACACUAGAAGGCAUAAAGGCCACUUUGAGUGUUACACACAAAGUCAUAGACACCAGGGGGAGUGUUUCCCACAAAUCGGAGGCACCAUGUGGAGUAUUACACAUGAAGUCUGGCACGCCACAGGGGAGUGUUACACAUGAAGGAAGAAAUGCCACAUGGAGUGUUACACCCAGAGUCAGAGACACCAGGAGGAGUGUUUCACACAGAGUCUGAAAUGCCACAUGGUUUGUUACACAGAAAGUCUGUGAUCCCAGGGGAUGUGUGACCCAAGAUGUCAGACAUACUAAGGGGAUUUUGAUAACUAAAUCAGAGACCCAAGAUGCAGUGUGACACACAAAGUCAGAGAAGACAGGGUGAGUGUGAUGCAUGGACUCUGAGAAACAAGGGGGAGUGAGACACACAAAGUCAGUGACAACACCAAGUUUAUUACACUAAAGCCAGAGACAAGAUGGGUAGUGUGUUACACAAAGUCAAGGAUGCUAGUCAGAGCAUGGCAAAUGAAGAUAGAGAUGACAUGGGGAGUGUUACACAGGAAAUCUGAGAAGCCAUGGGGCAUGUGACACAAGAAAGAAAGACCAGGCAUAGUAUUACACAGGAAGUCAGAGACACCAGCUAGUGUGUUACACAUGAAGUCAGAGAUGUUACCCAGAGUGUGACACAUGAAGUGAGAGAUACCAGAGGAACUGUGACACACAAAAUGAGAGACUAUAGGGGGAUUGUGACACAUGAAUUCAGAGAUGCCACAUGAUACUGUUACACACUAAGUCAAAGACACCAGUGGGAGUGUUACACACAAAGUCAGAGACAACAGGAUGUGUGUAAAACAUGAAGUCAUAGGUGGCAUAUUGAGUGUUACACAUGAACUCACAGCUCACAGACACUAGGUGGAGUGUUACACAUGAAGUCACAGAUGCCAGGGGGAGUGUUACUAAUCAAGUCAAAAUCGCCAAGGGUAGGUUGACACUCGAAGUCAGAGAAGAUAAGAGGAGUGUGACACAAAGUCCAGGAUGCCAAGUGUAGUGUGACACAUGAAGUCAGACAUGGCAAAGGAGAGUAUUACAAGUGAAGUCAAAGACACCAUUUGGAAUGUUACACACAAAGUCAGAGACUGCCCAGGGAGUGUUAAGAACAAAGUCAAAGACAUGAGGGGAAGUGUGACACGUGAAGUCAGAGGUGCCACCGUGACUGUUACCCACAAAGUCAGAGAUGCCUUAGUGAACGUUACACACUUAUACAAUGAUGCCAGGCAGAGUAUGAGACACAAAGUAAGAGCUGCCAUGGGGAUUGUUACACACAAAAUCUGAGAUUCCAGAGGAGUGAGACACAAAGUCAGAAUCACCAGGGGUAGUGUUAUACAGAAAGUCAGAGGCACCAGGGAGUGUGUUACACAUUAUGUCAGAUCCUCCUUGGGAGUGUGACACACGAAAUCAGAGACACCAGGGGAAAUGUGAGACACGAAGUCUGAGGCAUUACGAGGAGUGUUAAACAGAAAGUCCUAGAAGCCAGAGGGAUUGUGACACAUGAAGUUAGAGACACCAUGUGGAUUGUGACACACGAAGUCAGAGAUACAAUGAUGAAUGCUACACUUAAAGUCAAAGACUCCAGGGGUAGUGUGACACAAAAUCAGAGACAAUAGUGUGAGUGUUAGACAAGAAUUCUGAAACUCCACAGGGGAGUGUUACACUUCAAGGCAAAGAUGACAUGUUGAGUCUCAAACAUGAAGUCAGCAACACCAGGGUGUGUGUACCACACAAAGUCUGGGACACCACAUGGAGUGUUAUACACAAAGUUGGAGACAAAAUGUGGAGUGUUACACACGAAGUCAGGGACACCACAUUGAGAGUUACACACGAAUUCCCAGAUGCCACAGGGCAGUGUUACACCAGAAGGAAGAAAUGCCAUGUGAAGUGUCACACACGAUGUCUAGACACCAGGGGAAUUCUUACACAUGAAGUCAGACAUGCAAUGUGGAGUGUUACACAUAAAUUCAGAGACACCUUGGGGAGUGUUAGUCACGGAGUCAGGAAUGCCAAGUUUUCUGUUACACAUGAAGUUUAUGAUGCCAGUGGGACUGUGACACAUGAAGUCAGAGAUGCUAGGUGGAGUUUGACACAGGACGUCAGAGAACAAAGGUGCAGUGUGCCACACAAACUCAUAGACGCCAUGGGGAUUGUGACACAUAAAGUUAGAGACACCAGGGUGAUUCUGAUACACUAAGUGAGAGACACCACAGUAAAUGUUACACACUAAAUCAGGAGCGCCAGGGGUUGUUUGUCACUUGAAGUCAGAAAAGACUGUCGAGUGUGACCCUCAAAGUUAGAUGCCAAGUGGAAUGUUACAGAUCAAUUCAGAGAUGAAAUGUGGAGUGUUAUACACAAAGUCAGAGACACCAGUUGGAGUAUUAUACAUGAAGUCAGAGAUGCAGAGGGAGUGUGAAACAUGAAGUCAGGGACCCCAGGCAGAAUGUGACACACGAAGUCAGAGAUGCCAUGGUGACUGUUACACACAAAGUCAGAGAUGACAGAGCUCAAGUGACACACGAAGUAAGAGACACCAGGGGGAGUGUUCCUCACGAAUUCAGACAUGCCACGAGACAGUGUUAACAAGAAGUGAAAGACACCAGUGGGAGUGUUAGACACAGUGUCAGAGAUAACAGGACAUGUGUUGCACACAAAGUCAGAGGCAGCAUAUUGAGUGUUACACACGAACUCACAGAUACCAGGUGGAGUGUUACAGACAGAAUCACAGAGGCCAGGGAAAGUGUUACAAACCAAGUCAGAAAUGUCAAAGGGACUGAUACACACGAAGUUAGAGACAUCAAGGGGACUGUGACAUACAAUGUCAGAGAUUCCAGGGGCAGUGUGACACAUGAAGUCAGACUGGCCACAUGGAGUCUUACACAUGCAUUCAGAGAUGCCAGAGUGAGUGUAACUCACCAAGUCAGAGACACAAGGAGGAAUGCUACCCAUGAAGUCAGAGUCACCAGGUGGAGAGUGACACAUGAACAUAAGUAAACCACUUGGAAAGUGACAAAUGAAGUCAGGGAUGAUUGGGGGCGUGUGACACACGAAGUCAGACACUGCACAUAUAGUGUUAUGCAUGAUUUCAAAGACACCAGGGGUUGAUUUACACGCAAAGUCACUAGACCAGGAGGAGCAUUACACACAAAUUCAGAGGUGCCAUGGGGGAGUGUUACAGACAAUGUCAAGCACACCAGGGAGAGUGUUACACAUGAAGACAGAGAUGAGAGGGGAAGUGUGAAACACGAAGUAGAGAUGCCAUGUGGGUCUGUUAGGCAUGAAGUAAAUGACACCAGGGUGACUGUUACAACUAAGUCGGAGGUGAAAGGGAGAGUGUGACAAAUGAAGUGAGAGAUGAUAUGUGCAGUGUUGCACACGAAGUCAGAGAUGCCAGAGGAAGUGUGACACAUAAAGUCAGAGACCAGAGGUGAAGUGUGAAACUCAAAGUUAGACACAACCCGGAGGACUGUUACACAUGAAGUCAAAGAUGCCAUGUUGAUCAUUAUGCAUGAAGUCAGAGAUGCUACCUCGAGCGCUAUACACAAAUUCAAAUACACCACAGGGGACUUAAAACACAUGGUUAAAACACCAGGGUUAGGAUUAUGCACAAAGCCAAAGACACAAGGGGGAGUGUUACAUAUGUACUAAAGUACGCAAGAUGGAGAGUGACACAUGAAGUCAAAGAUUAGUGGGGGAGUGUGACACACGAUGUCAGAGAUGCCAUGGGGAAGCAUUACACAAGAAGUCAGUGAUGCCAAGGGGAGUGUGACACACUGAAUCAGAGACUAUAGGUGGAGUGUUACUAACAAAGUCAGAGAAGCCAAGAGAGUGUUACACAGAAAUUCAGAGAUGCCACAGGGGAGUGUUAUGCUUGAAGUCAAAGACACCAGGUGGAGUGUUACACACGAAGUCAGAGAUGCGUCAUGGAUUGCUACACACAAAGUCACAUACAACAUUAGGAGUGUUACAGGCAAAGUAAGAGAGGCAUGGGGGAGUGUUAUGCACAAAAUGAAGGACUCCAGGGUAAGUGUGACACAGGAAGUCAGAGACACCAGAGUGACUGUUACACAUGAAGUCUGAAACACCACAGGGAGUGUUACACAUGAAGUCAGAAACACCAGUUGAAGUGUUAAACACAAACUCAGAGACACACAAAGUCAGAGACAGUAUGGAAAUUGUGACAGGCAAACUAAGAGACUACAUUUGGAUUGUGACACACAAAGUCUGAGAUGACAGAAGGAGUGUUAUACAGGAAGUCAGAGACGAAAGUGAUAACGUCACACACAAAGCCAGACAUGACUGGGGGAGUGUUACACAUGAAGUCAGGGACAACAAGGUGAGUGUUAGAAACGAUGUGAAAGACACCAAUGGGAGUGUUAUACACAAAGUCAAAGACACCAGGUGAAAUGUUACACAUGAAGUCAGAGAUGCCAAGGGGAGUGUUAUACACAAUGUCAAAGAUGCCAGGUGUAUUAUUAUGAAAUUAGAAAUGCCAGAAGGAUGGUUAUGCAUGAAGUCAGAGAUGUCAUGUGGAGUUUCUCAUAUGAAGUCUGACACCAAGUGGAGUCUUUCCCACAAAGUCAGAAACUCCAGGAGUAUUGUUACACACCAACACAGAGUCACCAGGUGGAUUGUUGCACAGGAAGUCAGAGACACCAUGGUGUUUGUGACAGGCACCUCAGAUUUGCCACUGGGAGUGAGACACACAAAGUCAGAGAAGCCUGAGGGAUUGUGAGACAUUAAGUUAGCAAUGCCAGGCAUAUUGUUACACACAAAGUGAGAGACGCCAUAGAGAGUGUUAGACACAAAGUCAGAGAAGCCACAAGUACUGUUACACACAAAUUCCAAGAUGUCAGGGGAAGUGUGACACACGAAUUAAGAGAAACCACAUAGAAUGUGACACACGAAGUCUGAGACGCCAUGGGGAAGGUUUACACACGAAGCAAGAAAUGCCAUGUGCAGUGGUUCACAUGAAGGCAGAGAUGCCAGAGGGAGUCUUACACACGAAGUCAGAGAUACCACAUGGAGUGUUAGCAUGAUGUCACAGACACCAAGGGGAGUGUUACACAGCAAGUCAGAGAUGCCAGAGGUAGUGUUGCACACAAAGUCCAAGAUGUGAAGUGUAGUGUAAGACAAGAAUUCAGAGAUACCACGGGGAGUGCUACACACAAAGUCAGAGAUGAAAGGACGACUGUGACACAUAAAGUCAGAGACACCACUGGAAAUGUGACACAAAAACUCAGAGAUGCCAGUCUGAGUGUAACAAACGAAGUUAUAGAUGGCCUGGUAGUGUGGCACAUGAAGUCACAGUUGCCAGAGGGAUUGUGACACACGAAAUAUGAGACAAAACGGGCAGUGUAAUAUCCAAAGUCAAAGAUGCCAUUGGGAGUGUUACACACAAUGUCAGAGACAAAAGGGGAAUUGUGACACACCAAGUCAGAAACACCAGGAUGAGGGAUGCAAAUGAAGUCAGAGAUGCCACAGAGAGUGAUACACAUGAUGUCAGAGAUGCAAUAGAGUGUUUUACACAAGAAGUCAGACACUCCAUUUGGAGUGUUACACAUGAAGUCAGAGACUCCAUUGAAGAGUGCUAUGCACGAAGUCAAAGACAACAGGAGGAGUGUUACCCACAAAGUCAGAGAGACCAGGUAGACUGUUACACGUGUAUUCAGAGACGACAGGAAGAAUGUUAUAUAUGAAGUCAGUGUUGUCAUGGAGAAUGUGAUACAGGUCAGAGACCUCAGUUGGAGUGUGACACACAAAGUCAGAGAGGUCGUGUGGAGUGUGACACAUGAAGUCAGGGACACCACUGGGAGUGUUAUACACAAAGUCAUAACUUCUAGUUAGAGUAUUAAACGUGAUGUGAGAGCUGCCAGGGGGACUGUGACACAUGAAGUCAGAGAGGCUGGGGAGAGUGCCAAGGACAAAUUCAGAGAUGCAACUCAGUCGUAGUACACACUAAGUCAGAGAUGCCAGGGAUAGUGUUACACAGGAAGUCAGAGAAAACUGGUAGAGUGUGGCAAUUAAUUUCUGAGAUGUGUCAGGGAAUGGUACACACAAAAUCAGAAAUGCCAGCGGGAGUGUUACGCAUAAAGUGAUAGACGCAGGUGGAUGUUACAUGAAGUCAGAGUUGUCAUGGCAACAUUGACCCACAAAGUCAGAGACACCACUGGGAAUAUUAUACACCUAGUCAGAGACACUUGAAGAGUGUUACACGUGAAGUCAGAGACACUAGUGGGAGUGUUACACAUGAAGUUAAAGACAGCAGGGGGAGUGUGAUGCAUGAAGUCAGAGACACGAUUGGGUGUUACACAUGAAGUCACAGACAACAGGGGGAGUGUGAUACACAAAGUCACAGAAGCCAGGCAGAGUGAGACACAUGAAGUCAGAGGUGCCAGAGGGAGUGUUACACACACAAAUCUGAGAUGCCAGAGGGAGUGUGACACAAAGUCAGAAAAACAAGGGGUAGUGUUACAUAGGCAGUCAGAGGCACUAGGGAGUGUGAUACACACUAAGCCAGAGAUGCCAUGGGGAGUAUGACACACGAAGUUAGAGACACCAGGACAUAUUAUGACAAGCAAAGUCAGAGACACAAUGGUGACUGUUACACUCGAAGUCAGAGAUACCUGAGGUAGUUUGACACAUGAAAUCAGAGAUAACAGGGCAGGAGUGACACAUGAAUCAAAGAUGACAACGGGAGUGUGACACACAAGUCAGAGAGGCCACAUGGAUUUUUACACAUGAAAUCGUAGAUGCCGGGGGAGUGUUAUACAUGAUGUCAGAGAGGCCACGUGGAGUGUUACAGACGAACUCAGAAAUGUCACUGGAAGCAUUACAAAGUUGGAGACUCCAGAGUGAAAGUGUCACAUGUAGUCAGAGCCAACAGGAGACUGUUAAACACUAAGCCAGAGAAGCCACAGGGGAGUGUUAUCCCCAAUGACAAAGACACCAGGAGGAGUGUUACACAGGAAGUGAGAGAUGCUACGGGGGGUGUGACACAGGAAAUCAGAGAUAAGAGGUGGAUUGUGACACAGAAUGUCAGAGAUGCUAUGGGGAAUAUUACACAUAGCUCAGAGACAAGAGAAAGUGAAACACAUUAAUCAGAGAGGCCACAGGGUGUGUUACACACUAAGUCAGAGAUGCCAGGAGUAGGGUGACUCAUGAAGUCAGAGACGAAAGGGGGAGUGUGACACACAAAUCAGUGAUGCUACGGGAAAUGUUAAAAUAGACAUCAGAGAUGCCAGGGUACUGUGAUACAUGAAGUCAGGUAUGCCUGGGUGAGUAUGACACAAGAGUCAGAGUUGCAAUGAAGAGUGUUACAGUCAAAGUCAGAGAUGCCAGGGGAAUGUGACACAUGGAGUCUGAGACUUCACGUGGAGUGUUACGUACAAAGUCAGAGACACCAGCAGGAGAGUGGCACAUGAAGUCAGAGAUGACAGGGAGAAUGUGACACAUGAAGUCACAGACGCCAAAGGGGAGUGGUAUCCACGAAUUCAAAGACAACAGGGAGAGUGUUACACAUGGUGUCAGUGAUGACAGGGGUAUUGUAUCACACAAUGACACAGACAUCAGGAGUGUGACACCCAAAAUCAGAGACAACAUUUGGGGUAUGACACACAAAGUCAGAAACACCAGUGGGAGUGUUACACAUAAUGUCAAAGACAACAUGGGGAUUGUUAUACACAAUGACAGAGAUGACAUUGGGAGUGUGACACCUGAAGUCACAGAUAUAAUGGGGAGUGAGAGGCACAAUGUCAGAGAUGACAGGUGGAGUGUUAGAGAUGAAGUCACAGACAACAAAGGGAGUGUUACACACGAAUCAGGGACACCAGGGCGAGCAUUACACAUGGAGUUAGAGAUGCUAUGGGGAUUAUUAUGCUUGAUAUCAGAGACACCGUGGGGGAGUUUUACACAUAAGGGCAGAAACGUCACAUGGUUUUUUACAGAUGAAAUCAGAAAUGCCAGGGGGAUUGUUACUCACCCAGUCAGAGAUGCCACAUGAGGUUUUACACAGGAAGUCAUAGACAAUGGGAGGGUUUUUACAAACAAAAUCAGAGGUCUUACGGUUAUUGUUACACACAUCGUCCAAGAUUCCAGGCAGUGUGGGACAGAGGAAGGAAAAAACACAGGGUGGAUUGUUACACACAAAGUCCAAGACACCAGGGAGAGUGUGAAACCUGAUGGCAGGGAUGCCAUGGGCAGUGCAACACACGAAAUCAGAGAUGACAAGUGAAGGGUUAGAGACAAAGUCAAAGACGCCAGGGGUAGAGUUAUGCACAACAACACAGAUGCCAGCAGGAGUGUUACACAUGAAAUCAGUGAUGCC